UACGUAGGGUCCGAGCGUUUGUCCGGAAUUACUGGGCGUAAAGAGCUCGUAGGUGGUUUGUCGCGUUGUUCGUGAAAACUCACAGCUCAACUGUGGGCGUGCGGGCGAUACGGGCAGACUUGAGUACUGCAGGGGAGACUGGAAUUCCUGGUGUAGCGGUGAAAUGCGCAGAUAUCAGGAGGAACACCGGUGGCGAAGGCGGGGUCUCUGGGCCAAAACUGACGCUGAGGAGCGAAAGCAUGGGGAGCGAACAGG
Molecule: ribosomal RNA, 255 nt
Filed under: uncultured bacterium
Lineage: Bacteria
Description: partial 16S ribosomal RNA
Rfam family: Bacterial small subunit ribosomal RNA
Source: RNAcentral